Molecule: long non-coding RNA, 389 nt
Organism: Hyaena hyaena (striped hyena)
Lineage: Eukaryota; Metazoa; Chordata; Mammalia; Carnivora; Hyaenidae
Exons: 3
Source: RefSeq, a predicted model, not a curated record
CACAGAGCCCGACGCGGGGCUCGAACCCACAAAUGUAGGACCAACUCUUGUGAUUAUCAUCAGCUAGAGGAAACCCACACGUCUCCCCCGAGCAACGUUAAGUGGCCAUGUUGCAAAGGACCCCGGGGAUUUUCUUCUUUGGUCAUUGUCCCGGCCAAAGUCUUGAAAGACAGGUUUUCAUUUCAUUGCCAUAUUCGGUGGCUAAGAGUCUUCUGGUUACGUUACUAAACUUUGGACUAUCUUAGAAUUUAAUUUGCUCAAUUAAAUGGCCGAAGAAACCCACAGAUGACUACGUGUACUAAAAUGUAUGAAAUCAAUGACACGUGCCAGCCCUGGGAAGAGGAGCCACUUCUCCUAGACAGAGAGACAGAGUAUGAGCAGGGGAGGGG